Molecule: ribosomal RNA, 441 nt
Filed under: uncultured bacterium
Lineage: Bacteria
Description: partial 16S ribosomal RNA
Rfam family: Bacterial small subunit ribosomal RNA
Source: RNAcentral
CCUACGUGAGGCAGCAGUGGGGAAUAUUGCACAAUGGGGGAAACCCUGAUGCAGCGACGCCGCGUGAGUGAAGAAGUAUUUCGGUAUGUAACGCUCUAUCAGCAGGGAAGAAGAAAGACGGUACCUGACUAAGAAGCCCCGGCUAACUACGUGCCAGCAGCCGCGGUAAUACGUAGGGGGCAAGCGUUAUCCGGAUUUACUGGGUGUAAAGGGAGCGUAGACGGCUGUGCAAGUCUGAAGUGAAAGGCCAGGGCUCAACCCUGGGACUGCUUUGGAAACUGUGGAGCUAGAGUGCUGGAGAGGGAAGUGGAAUUCCUAGUGUAGCGGUGAAAUGCGUAGAUAUUAGGAGGAACACCAGUGGCGAAGGCGGCUUACUGGACAGUAACUGACGUUGAGGCUCGAAAGCGUGGGAAGCAAACAGGAUUAGAUACCCCUGUAGUC